GAUGAACGCUGGCGGCGUGCCUAAUACAUGCAAGUCGAGCGAACAGACGAGGAGCUUGCUCCUCUGACGUUAGCGGCGGACGGGUGAGUAACACGUGGAUAACCUACCUAUAAGACUGGGAUAACUUCGGGAAACCGGAGCUAAUACCGGAUAAUAUAUUGAACCGCAUGGUUCAAUAGUGAAAGACGGUUUUGCUGUCACUUAUAGAUGGUUCCGCGCCGCAUUAGCUAGUUGGUAAGGUAACGGCUUACCAAGGCAACGAUGCGUAGCCGACCUGAGAGGGUGAUCGGCCACACUGGAACUGAGACACGGUCCAGACUCCUACGGGAGGCAGCAGUAGGGAAUCUUCCGCAAUGGGCGAAAGCCUGACGGAGCAACGCCGCGUGAGUGAUGAAGGUCUUCGGAUCGUAAAACUCUGUUAGUGGGGAAGAACAAAUGUGUAAGUAACUAUGCACGUCUUGACGGUACCUGAUCAGAAAGCCACGGCUAACUACGUG
This 497-nucleotide ribosomal RNA is filed under the name uncultured bacterium. RNAcentral describes it as "partial 16S ribosomal RNA". It matches the Rfam family "Bacterial small subunit ribosomal RNA", at positions 28 to 507 of the family's 1533-position model. The record is from RNAcentral.